RNAcentral lists this ribosomal RNA (224 nucleotides) under uncultured Lactobacillus sp. RNAcentral's name for it is "partial 16S ribosomal RNA". It matches the Rfam family "Bacterial small subunit ribosomal RNA", at positions 138 to 354 of the family's 1533-position model. Lineage: Bacteria; Bacillati; Bacillota; Bacilli; Lactobacillales; Lactobacillaceae. The record is from RNAcentral.
UCGGGAUAACACCUGGAAACAGAUGCUAAUACCGGAUAAUAACAGAUGAUGCCUAUCAACUGUUUAAAAGAUGGUUCUGCUAUCACUCUUGGAUGGACCUGCGGUGCAUUAGCUAGUUGGUAGGGUAACGGCCUACCAAGGCGAUGAUGCAUAGCCGAGUUGAGAGACUGAUCGGCCACAUUGGGACUGAGACACGGCCCAAACUCCUACGGGAGGCAGCAGAC